Lates calcarifer (barramundi perch) is the source of this 1090-nucleotide long non-coding RNA. RefSeq lists it as uncharacterized. The record is from RefSeq and is a predicted model, not a curated record. Lineage: Eukaryota; Metazoa; Chordata; Actinopteri; Centropomidae. The transcript has 5 exons.
GAGGCGAAUCAGAUAUGAACCACGUUCGAAUCAUUGCCUCUGUUUGCCAGUAGUGCGAGGGAACGUCGUUACCGAGGUCCGAAUGCUUAAACUUUUUGUCGAACACAGGUUUACUGGUUCAGCUGCUGCAGCCUGGACACAAACACCAGCUCCCACCUUAGAAAGCAAACAGAGGCCUGGACUACGAAGGGAGUUUAAGCCACUCUGAUUUAACUCGGGUUAUCAAGGAACGUCGGGGUUGACAGACGUCGGCUGCCUCGAUCUGCGUUAACUACAGCGACGAUGAAGAUGUCGGUGUCUCCACUUCGUCCACGAUCAGAGAAUCUUUGUACAAUGAAGGAAUUGUUUAGACCAGGACAGAGGCCUCCAGAAUUCAAAGUGCAACCAUUAAAUCACAGAGAGAAGAGACAGACAUGAAGAUGUUUCCAGAAGGUCUCUGAAACGCCACCAGUGCCGUCAGUUUCACAAGAACAGCUUCUGACGUUGCGUAUCGACGGUUAUCCCGUAACGUCACGGAGUCUAGAGCGCUUGGACAGGUGUUCACAGAACCUGUAAACCAAAGCUGGGGCUCUCGCACUUUGUCUGCCUCAGGUAAGAUUGCAACUGGCAGUCCCUUUUCUUUUAGUGUUUGCAUUUGUUUGUACAGCGUCAAAAUGUACUGCCAAAGGUGAUCUUUAAGUGUCCAAGCUCAGCAGUAGUUGUCUUAUAUAGUAGUAUCAUGUCCAACAGACAGAAUCACUUCUGUCUCUAACUGACACUCCACUGAAAUCAACCCGACUCUACUGAUUUCAAAGGAGAAAACUUUUGACACUUUACUGUGACAUUGAGUAUUUUUAACUGUUUUCCAUGCGUUAUUAUACUAUGACAUUAUUUAAGUGUUGUUGGGUGUUUUUCCACUGUUUGUUAUGCCUUGCUGUACUAUUACAGUAUUUGAGUGUUUUUCCACUGUUUUUCCUGCAUUAUUGUACUAUGACAUUUUUUUUGACUGUUUAUGACUGUGUUUCAUGCCUUACUGUACUAUUACUGUUGGUUAUGCCUUACUCUACUAUGACCUUUUUUGAGUGUUUUUCAUGCAUUACUGUACUAUUAC